GAUGAACGCUGGCGGCGUGCUUAACACAUGCAAGUCGAACGGGAAACCUUUUAUUGAAGCUUCGGCAGAUUUAGCUGGUUUCUAGUGGCGGACGGGUGAGUAACGCGUGGGUAACCUGCCUUAUGCAGGGGGAUAACAACCAGAAAUGGUUGCUAAUACCGCAUAAGCGCACAGGACCGCAUGGUCCGGUGUGAAAAACUCCGGUGGUAUAAGAUGGACCCGCGUUGGAUUAGCUAGUUGGCAGGGUAACGGCCUACCAAGGCGACGAUCCAUAGCCGGCCUGAGAGGGUGAACGGCCACAUUGGGACUGAGACACGGCCCAGACUCCUACGGGAGGCAGCAGUGGGGAAUAUUGCACAAUGGGGGAAACCCUGAUGCAGCGACGCCGCGUGAAGGAAGAAGUAUCUCGGUAUGUAAACUUCUAUCAGCAGGGAAGAUAGUGACGGUACCUGACUAAGAAGCCCCGGCUAACUACGUG
Molecule: ribosomal RNA, 478 nt
Filed under: uncultured bacterium
Lineage: Bacteria
Description: partial 16S ribosomal RNA
Rfam family: Bacterial small subunit ribosomal RNA
Source: RNAcentral